Molecule: small RNA, 223 nt
Rfam family: Streptomyces RNA 1601
About the family: Identified by deep sequencing of transcriptome at the end of exponential growth phase. Appears longer on northern blot than sequencing transcript.
Source: Rfam
AACGACCGGCUGGACAUGCCCUGUGAACAACUGGGCGUCCGGCCCACAAGUGGAGGCUCCGAUCUCCCACCUGACCGUCCUCCGGGACGGCGGGUCACCCGGUCAGGCGGCCACCAUCGUUCCGUACGGACGAUGGAGUCGCCCGAAAGCGCGCCCCGCGGCAUCGCGGCGGUGCUCCGGUAGUGUGUUGGAGCCCCGCCUGUGAUCGUCCGGGGCAUUUUUU